This 466-nucleotide ribosomal RNA is filed under the name uncultured bacterium. RNAcentral's name for it is "bacterial SSU rRNA". It matches the Rfam family "Bacterial small subunit ribosomal RNA", at positions 329 to 793 of the family's 1533-position model. The record is from RNAcentral.
UUCCAGACUCCUACGGGAGGCAGCAGUGAGGAAUAUUGGUCAAUGGGAGAGAUCCUGAACCAGCCAAGCCGCGUGAGGGAAGACGGCCCUAUGGGUUGUAAACCUCUUUUGUCGGAGAACAAAACCCGGGACGUGUCCCGGACUGCGUGUAUCCGAAGAAAAAGCAUCGGCUAACUCCGUGCCAGCAGCCGCGGUAAUACGGAGGAUCCGAGCGUUAUCCGGAUUUAUUGGGUUUAAAGGGUGCGUAGGCGGACAGUCAAGUCAGCGGUAAAAAUGCGGUGCUCAACGCCGUACAGCCGUUGAAACUGGCAGUCUUGAGUGGGCGAGAAGUAUGCGGAAUGCGUGGUGUAGCGGUGAAAUGCAUAGAUAUCACGCAGAACUCCGAUUGCGAAGGCAGCAUACCGGCGCCCGACUGACGCUGAGGCACGAAAGCGUGGGUAUCGAACAGGAUUAGAUACCCUAGUAC